UUUACAGGUUGGAGACUAGUGAGAUACAGAUUGACGAUACUAUGUUUGUACUAGAAAUGUACUUAUUUUAUGCCAAUCAAGACAGACUUUUAAAAUGUACACAGAAGAAGAAAAAAUAAAUAUAUUAUCUGCUUUGUAUUUGCUUUUAAAGAAAGAACACACCAUAACUAUAAAAACGGUUUAGGGUUUUUGUAAAGAUUUGAACUUGUUCCAAUUCUUUCCCAAGGCACCAGCCUCCAAACAGAAAGUGGACAGAUUAGCUACCUACUAAAUAUAUACACAUUGACAUAUAGUUCCCAAUUAUUUCUAUGAAACAACCCCUACCAUGGAAGCUUAAAAGUACUUGAAGUAUAAGUAUUGGCAUAUUGAAUUUUAAC
This 377-nucleotide long non-coding RNA is filed under the name Mytilus galloprovincialis (Mediterranean mussel). The record is from RNAcentral. Lineage: Eukaryota; Metazoa; Mollusca; Bivalvia; Mytilida; Mytilidae.